UUUAACACGUUGAAGAGGAUCAGUAAUUAAAGGCGAUCAUCUACAGAGAGCUGCUAGGAGCUGAGAGGCAGCGAUGAUCCUUUAAUGAAGCUCACCUCGGAGUGCGACUUCGAACAAUCGGGCACAGCCUGCUUUAGUAGAUGUUGCCGGGUGGUUUUUCACUACACCCGUUAUCAAAAUGAGACGAUUUGAUCGUCCAUGAGGUAGCAUUUGUAAAAAUGCUACGAAUGAGGGUGGUACCGUGAAAAGAGAAAUCUUUUUGCCCCUUUG
This 270-nucleotide non-coding RNA is filed under the name Halalkalibacterium halodurans. Its description in RNAcentral is "Bacillus halodurans T-box sequence". It matches the Rfam family "T-box leader". Rfam says of the family: Uncharged tRNA acts as the effector for transcription antitermination of genes in the T-box leader family. T-boxes are found upstream of many aminoacyl-tRNA synthetase genes and some amino acid biosynthetic genes usually in Gram-positive bacteria. The anticodon of a specific tRNA base pairs to a specifier sequence within the T-box motif, and the NCCA acceptor tail of the tRNA base pairs to a conserved bulge in the T-box antiterminator hairpin. Lineage: Bacteria; Bacillati; Bacillota; Bacilli; Caryophanales; Bacillaceae. The record is from RNAcentral.